ACAGUGGUGGUUCAAUGGUAGAAUCCUCACCUUUCAUACAGGAGACCUGGGUUCAAUUCCCAACCAAUGCA
RNAcentral lists this transfer RNA (71 nucleotides) under Loxodonta africana (African savanna elephant). It matches the Rfam family "tRNA". Rfam says of the family: Transfer RNA (tRNA) molecules are approximately 80 nucleotides in length. The record is from Rfam by way of RNAcentral. Lineage: Eukaryota; Metazoa; Chordata; Mammalia; Proboscidea; Elephantidae.